AAUGUAUAAAUGUCCAAAUAAAAGUGAUAAAGUAUAAAAUAAAUAAUAGACAAAAUUAAAAUAAAUGUAAUGAACAAGAGAAUGCACAAAAAUAUUUGAUUAACAAGAAAUAAGUGAUAAAAGAAAUAGAAUAAAAAUGGAAAAGAAAACAAAUAAAAAUGAAGAAAAAAAUAAAAUAAAAAGUAAAAGUAAGAAAAAUAAAACAAAUGGGGGCGAUGGGGGUUGAACCCCUGACCUUGGGGUCAUGGUCCAUUUCACUGACCAAGGGCUCUUGGGUGUUAACUAGCACGCCUCAUAAAAAUAAAUAAGAAAAUCCAAUCAUAAAUAAAUAACGGGUCAAUCCCACCCAUCUGAUCAAGUCACUUAUGAUUAGUAAGCACAUUGAAUGGUUCAAAU
This 396-nucleotide long non-coding RNA is filed under the name Lathyrus oleraceus (garden pea). RNAcentral's name for it is "Pisum sativum (pea) long non-coding RNA (PSAT_LNC017139)". Lineage: Eukaryota; Viridiplantae; Streptophyta; Magnoliopsida; Fabales; Fabaceae. The record is from RNAcentral.